CAGUAGCCGCGGUAAAACGGAGGGUGCAAGCGUUAAUCGGAAUUACUGGGCGUAAAGCGCACGCAGGCGGUCUGACAAGUCAGAUGUGAAAUCCCCGGGCUUAACCUGGGAACUGCAUUUGAAACUGUCAGGCUGGAGUCUUGUAGAGGGGGGUGGAAUUCCAGGUGUAGCGGUGAAAUGCGUAGAGAUCUGGAGGAAUACCGGUGGCGAAGGCGGCCCCCUGGACAAAGACUGACGCUCAGGUGCGAAAGCGUGGGGAGCAAACAGGAUUAGAUACCCCGGUAGUCCCUGUCUCUUAUCC
Molecule: ribosomal RNA, 301 nt
Filed under: uncultured bacterium
Lineage: Bacteria
Description: partial 16S ribosomal RNA
Rfam family: Bacterial small subunit ribosomal RNA
Source: RNAcentral